UUGGAGGGCAAGUCUGGUGCCAGCAGCCGCGGUAAUUCCAGCUCCAAUAGCGUAUAUUAAAGUUGUUGCAGUUAAAAAGCUCGUAGUUGAACUUCGGGGUUCUACCGUUGGUCGGGCUAUUGUCUGUACUGGCGUGUAGAAUUUCUACCUUCUGGGGAACUAUCAUGUUAUUAAUUUAGCGUGGUAGGAAACCAGGACCUUUACCUUGAAAAAAUUAGAGUGUUCAAAGCAGGCUUAUGUCUGAAUACAUUAGCAUGGAAUAAUAAAAUAGGACGGUGGUCCUGUUUUGUUGGUUUCUGAAUCACCGUAAUGAUUAAUAGGGAUAGUUGGGGGCAUUAGUAUUCAAUUGUCAGAGGUGAAAUUCUUGGAUUUAUUGAAGACUAACUACUGCGAAAGCAUUUGCCAAGGAUGUUUUCAUUAAUCAAGAACGAAAGUUAGGGGAUCGAAGACGAUCAGAUACCGUCGUAGUCUUAACCAUAAACUAUGCCGACUAGGGAUCGGACGGUGUUAACUUUUCUUGACUCGUUCGGCGCCUUACGGGAAA
RNAcentral lists this ribosomal RNA (544 nucleotides) under uncultured Glomeromycotina. RNAcentral describes it as "SSU rRNA". It matches the Rfam family "Eukaryotic small subunit ribosomal RNA", at positions 548 to 1097 of the family's 1831-position model. The record is from RNAcentral. Lineage: Eukaryota; Fungi; Glomeromycota.